Molecule: long non-coding RNA, 8682 nt
Filed under: Populus tremula
Lineage: Eukaryota; Viridiplantae; Streptophyta; Magnoliopsida; Malpighiales; Salicaceae
Description: long non-coding RNA (PTRE_LNC002554)
Source: RNAcentral
UUUGACAACAUCUAAAAAAAAAUUCAAAAAACCUAACCUAAACCCUCUCAUAGACAGCCGUUCCCUUUCCAGGAAAAAAAAAAGAGUCGUCCCCCCCCCCGUUGGUUUGGAUUUUCUUUUCUCCAGCCGCCGGCUAAGAAUUGGCUCCCCAUUUUUCCAAAAGAGAAGACCACGACGCCUCCCCUGUGGCCGGCCACCGCAGCUCCCAUCUCUCUGUCAUCUUCCCUUUCGGCCUGCACAUAGAGCAGCCGCACACGUUUCCUCCACUCAGCCAAGAACCACCGGACCCAGCAUUUCCCUCAGUAGCUGUUUCCCCAGCCAAUCGCCGAUCUGCUCUCCUCCAUUCGGCCCCCCAGCGGCGGCGGCCGCACCGAGAACCAGCCGUCCUCACCGAAGGCCCAGCGACCACCUGAUCCCUGUCAUCUUCUCCUCUCAACAGCCGCAACCUCUUCAUCUCCUUCAACCAGCAGAGCUGCGCCACUGCCAUCGGAGAGCCACGCCCGUCUCCAUCGCGGCUUCAGCCGCCACGGACGACCACCACCAACCGAAGAGGAAAGAAGGGUCGGCGAUCUACCCGAUCCAGUGGGUAACCGACCGCACGAGCCGCCCGGCGAGCCACCCAACACCCACAACAGAUCUGCUACCCGGAGAAGAAAGAGAGAGAAGCAGAUCUAAACAGAUCUAAGGAGGGAGUCGACUGUGUUGUCUAUUGUUGUUGCGUUUUCUUGCAGGUCACAGCCUCGUCGCCGGCGAAAAGGGGAAGAAGAGAGGAAGACGUGACUGCCCCCUGUUUUUCGGUGUUCCUUGCGGCGGCGUGUGAACCCACGCGCCGCCAGUGACGGAGGCGCGUGGGAAGACGCGCCGCCAGUGUUUUCUGCCACCAGAAGCCUUCCCAGCACUGUUCCCGUGCAUUGUUCCUGCAUGUUCUAGAAGCUUUAAGAUUUUUUAGGGUUUAUUUUGUAUUUUUUUUAUUUAUUUGAUGUAAUAUUUAUUUAAUUUGAAUUUUUAUUUGUAUGUUGUAAAUGUGGAAAUAUCAAAAAGAAAAGAAACAAAAAAUAGUAAAAGUGAAUGUGGGUGUUUUUAUGUGUUUUAUUUUUUUAUAUAUUUUAUUUUUUAAUGAUAAAAUUGCAGAUAUUAAAAGAAGAAUUUAAUAUUUUGAUUGGAUCACGGUUAAGAAUUAUUAACUUAUACGUAAGUGAUAUUUCUAAUUUCCGAUGAAAAGACAAUUAUUAAAACUUCUUUAACACAUCAAAUUCGCGAAGCAGCUUACCUCAGGUAGGGUGCGUUAGGGGUGCUAAUACCUUCCCUAACCACAACCAGUCCCUUACCCGCGAAUCUUUGACAAGACCAGUACAUCCGGUUUCCUAGUAGCCCGAAAUCAAUUACUAGGUGGCGACUCCAACGAACCAAAUUCAAGCAAACAACAACGAGACGAAAAAUCGCCAGUCGAUGCCGCGCGCCGGAUGAUUUUUUUUUGGGGUGCGACCAGAAUGGCGACUCCGCUGGGGAAGGUAUUGGACUAAACUUUGUGUAUUUGAUGUGUUUAAGUUUUUUGUAUUUUUAUCUUUUUGUUAAUAUUUUUUCCAUGCAUUUUAUAGAAUUGUUUCAUACAUCACCUGUAUUUAUUAAAGCACACGCAAGCUUCUAGGUUAGGUGGGGAACUAGCGAUCUGCCCUAAGACUAUUGGUCAGGGUUCAGAUGCGUGAAACACCCAACUCAUAUCUGAGUGCCUGCUUGGUAAUGGUGGGUAUACAUGCCUUAACCAUUCCUUGCAACGCUCCCAUACUGUCUUUACGAAGAACGUCACUGGGCAGAUAUGAGACCCUUUUGAGACCAGAUAGAAAAACCUACCCAUGUUCACAUAAUGAAUAGAACAUGUCCUUAGGUUGUAUGUGCUAUCGUUUUUUGCAUAAGGGCAAACCCUUCUUGAAGCAUCUUGAACUCAAGACUUGUGGGUGACACAUUGGUCGUUGCUCCGAAAAUUUUCAUUGUAGAGUUUGGGCAAAAAUCACGAUUCUUGUCCAUCAUACAAGAGUUACGACCAUAUUGUCACCUCUCGAAGGGUGAGUUCAUCAUAUAGAUUACAUGUUCAUACAUUUAUCAUGCAUGUACCGGGCUGAAAGGUAGGUCCCCCACACAAGUUGUGCUGCACGUGAUUGGAGAAAAAUGAUGGAGGUGAAGAAAGGUGUCAGAUAGAGGCUCAUUAUCAGAUUAAGGUUGAGAGCAUUAAAUGUGAAGUAGCUAGACUCAGAUCUGCUUGAACAAGUGUUGAACAUCAAAUGGAAAGAGAAUAUCUGCAGUCUUCUGUGGGAACACUGCUUGUUCACAUCUAAUUGAAGCUGUAUCUCUCCUUUUUCAUCAUGAACAAAAGCAACAACGCCUUCAGUCAUCAACUAAUGACAACUCUGGUUCUUAUCCAGUUGCAUUGUUAAAUGUUCAUCGCCUCCACAUCAUCUAAUGGAACCAAACAACUACCGGUCUCCUGUACAUGGUGCAUUAAUCUGCUUUGAAGUUACCCCGAUUACGAGCUCAAUUCCAGUUCAGCAGCACAAGAUGGUAUGAAAAACCAUGAUUGAACACUGAACUUCAAUGUGGCAGAGCUCUCUCUACAAAAAUCAAUUUAUGGCUCUGCAAAUUGGGAAGGCAAGAGGGGAUUUAUAAGUUGCAUAUGCUACAAAUAUUUCUCUCAUCAGUUUCAGCACGAAGACCUCUUAGUAGGUUGAAGAGCCAGACCUGGUCUGAAAAAUAUGAGCAGACAUCAAACUUCAACGUAGCAAAGCUCACUCACAGGAAUCUGUUUGUGGAUCCGCAAGUGGGAAGUCCAAGAAGGAAUACAGUAGUUUCAGGUCAUCUAUGAUUUUCCUCCAACAGUGUCAGUAUUAAAACGCAAAAGUAGAGAAAGAGACAUGCCUAGACUGAAAAACAUGAAGAAUACUGAAACUUCAACAGAGCAGGACUUCCUCUAUAGGUGUUUGUUUGCUGCACUGUCAGUGAGAAAUCGAAUAGGGGACAAAGCAGUUUUAGAUUCAUCAUGUGCUCUUCCAAUAGAGACAACGUGUGAUUCCACACGUCGGUAGUGGCGAUACUACAAGUUUCUGGGUGCUGCCAAGAUUACCAAGCUAUUAGAAAGUUUUCUAACAAUCCUCAACCAACCAUAGCAACAUUGGAAGAUUGAAAUAAUGUUGUGAGGAUUUGCCAAAGAAUUGAACAAGCUAUGAAGAGAAGAAAGAUUGAAGGAUCUGCCAUGGAUUCUAGAACAAUGAUGAGAGGUGAAUCAGGAGAUGACUUUGACGGUGUGAGCCCUUAAUUAUGUGGUAUAGCCAGGUCUCACAGUAGCAUCAAUUGCUCAAAUAUCUUUGCUAAGAUGGGACAUUCCUCUUCCAUUUAAGUUUGUCGACCAGCAUCUGCCAGAUUCCAGAAUUUUGCUUGACUCCGACAAAUCCUAUGCAACCACCCAGAAAAUGGUGUCAUGAUGGGGUCCUCAACCAUUUCAAUUGAGCAAUUGCAAGAAUUUCGAGAAGCGAGUCUGAAAGUUGGUGAGCAAGAGACAAGUGGAGUCGUUGAAGAAGGGUGUCACUGGCUAUAUUGUUCCCCGAACAACUUCAGAAUCACAUGUGAUCGAAAAUGCUUGGCAAAACACAGAUAUUGCUAGAAAAGCUGAUUCGAGAAUGGUGAUGAACAGUCAAUCAUAUUGUUAUGGAAUUCUGCAUUUUGUUUUGGGAUCACAUCUCAUCCUUCAACGAAACAUGCCUUGCUUUUGUCUCUUUGUUGUUUUGAAAUCAACAGAUGUUUAGCAUUUUAUUCUGACAAAAUAUUUUGAUCAAACUCCAACAUGCGAUAAAGGUUAAUCAAUCCGGAAGAUUAAAAGUGUUUUGAUUACAGAAAUGACUCUAUGCUUGAAAAUGACAUGAGGUGACCAAACAAUUUUGAACUCAUACCUUUUGAAACUGAACCACACAUCAUAUAGCUAAGUUUUAGCAGUAUGCAUAAUGACAUGUAGUGGAUUCAAUAGUUAUGGACUCGUGAAUCAUGAUUCUUGCAAGUACAAAUCAUUACACUAGAUGAGGUCAAAAUUUAUCGGUUCUAACCGACCUUGCUUGAAAUGAGAAAAGGCCAUCUUUGAUAUCCUUCACUUUCUAAAAUUAUAUCCCUUGUAGUCCCAUUUUGAGCUGGUGAAAUAUUUUCUUUCAAAAGGAAACCCUGACUAGGAUCACACCCCACACUGGGGGCAAAUGAGAAAUAUUUUGGAGACACUGAUAAAAUCAAUGGAUCAAAGAAAAGCUUAGAACAAAAGUCCAAUGUUUGAGAAAGGGCUAGAAGAAAAUCCAUAGAUUGAGGGCCAUCCAAGAAAGAAAAAAAAAACUUUGAGGAAGGCUAUGCAAAAAAAAAAUGUGUAAAGAAAAUGGAAAGGAAAGAAAAUGCCUAUCAAUUCUAAGAGAGGCAAGACAAUUUUCAAUUGAGAAAAGACAGCAAAUGCCAAAAGUCAACACUAGAAAAAUCGAUGCUUCAUAUCUUUUGGUGUGUUUUGGAUAGAGCCUCUAAUGUCUUCAAAAAUAAUUAGAUUAGUUUAUUCAUCAAAGAAAAGUUGGAUUUGCAUUAUGACCUAUGUUAAGAGAAUUCUGAUAUUUGAAGAUUAACAAGGUUAUAUGUCACUCUCGCUACAAUGACGACAAGAGAAAGAGAAUCGAUGAAUAGUUCAUGUUGGUCCUAGGUCGUUGAAACCCUCAAACACCUUUUGAGCCUAUGGAAUUCCUUUCUUUCAUAGCCAUGAACCAUAGCCUGCAUUACGUGCUUUUAAAAAGCCCUUUUUAAUCAAGCAAGCAAUCUGAACCAAUAAAUGGCGAUCUCAAAACUUGAAGAGUUUUCUAUAAGAGUCGUGGCUUCAUUGAAUUAGGCUACUGGUUAUUAUGCAUGCUGAUAAAAUAAAUACUGAGAAAAGAAACAACCUUUCUUUAUCAAGCCUGAGCAUCUAGUCAUUUGAAAUUCAAAAAUAUCACCUCACCAUAAACCAUCAAAAGAUAUACCCAAAAUCAGAGUUUAAAGUGGACACAAAGAACCAUGAAAAAGUCAUUUUAAAUCUUACAACGGGUCAUUUCUGUUUUCAAAAUACAAGACAAUCAAAGGACUGCAUUGAAUAGUGUGUUGGGUCUUUGACCAAAGAGCUCGAAUUUCAAAAAUAACUUUUCAAAAACUGAUAUCUCUCUGAUUUCAUUUCAACAAUUAUACUUGAAUAGACAUGAUCGUUGAAAUGUUGAGAUUUGAUUCCAGAACAAGAAAGAUUUUCAAACAAGAACAUCAAUUGAGUUUGCAAAAUUCUUGACAAAAAUGACAUCAACAUUUCUCGACACUCCUUGAAACGUUGACCACCUGGGGCAAUACAGUGGACCUUAAGAAGGAAAGCAAACAGUAUCCAGAUCAGCUGGGGGCAAAGAAAGAAUCCGAUGAUGAGUCGUCAAAGUUAUGUUUAGCAUCUGACAAUGACAAAGAAAAACCUUCUUGAGUAUAAACCGAUGAAUGAACCUUCAGAUCAUACUGAGGCCAAUGUUGUUCAAAGACAAUCCAUGAUCUAGUGCACUUCAGCAGCAAUUGAUGAGCAACGCUGCACUAGAAAGAUAUUUUCAUAUCUUCAUCUUAGGUUACUUUGUAAAACAUGGAUAUGACUCCGGACAGAUGUUAUCGGGUGAGUGCAUUUGGAUGAACAUCGAACAUAUGCAUACCACCAAGAUUUACGAUGGGACCAUCUAUUCUGAAGCUCAAAUGCGCACUUCACCGCAUGAAUAUGGGUGAUAACAUGAACAUCAUUGAUGAUGCCAAAGCAGGUAUUUUCACGAUCUGAUUUGACAAGCUAAGAGGAAUCCAUAGAGAAAUACAUCGCGCUUACAAUGAUGAGCUGUUUACUGCAAAGCAUGAGAUACAUGUCUGGAUGACUUGGCAGUUCCAUGAAGGCUGGUGACCAUACAUACUUGAAUGGUGUUUCAACCGAAGGCAAGUUCAUGACUGAUUAACAAACGUGAUGGGUGUUGGCAUGAUGCACACAAUCAAUCAGAGGAUAAUUUCUCAGAAGAAGCCAGGAGAGAAAAUCUCUCAUGAUGAAUCAAGCAGUACCACACUUGGGGGCAGGGUCAAGCUUCAUGAACGAUGCAAGCAGUAAUUGUUGAAGACAGCCCGGGAUGGGCACUGCAUUUACAACUGAGUGGAUGGCUAACACAUGAAUGAGCCAAUACAUCAGAAGAACAAAGAAAGUUUUGGGAUACAAACAAGGGCACCCUAUGACGAUGGAGCAUCAAAGAGGGGGGACCUAUUAUUUCAAAUCAGGUAAGGAUGCAUGCAUAUCAUCUAACCUCAAAAAAAAAAAAAAAAAAAACCAUUUGCACAUAUUUUUGAAUUGUUACAGGAAAAUCCUUAAUGAGGUCCAGCAAGAUGGUGGAAAGAGAAAGAAGCAUUGUGGUGAUGAUAAAAAGAAUCGGUUUUGAUCAUGGAAUAAAAGGACGAUGGGAUGAACCCUACCAUUAGGAAAAUCCCAAAGAAAUGAAUAGAUCAACCUUGCAACCGGGAAGCCUCGAGUUUUCAACCCUUGCAGUCAGGAAACACCGAGUUUUCAAACCCCAUGAUCGGGAAUUAUCAGGAAGCACCAAGUCUUCCAGCCCUUUCUUCUGUCAUCCCUUCAGAACUUCGCCAGGUAAGUCCUAUUUUUCACACUUGUCAUAUCACAUUUUUUCCAUCUGGGUAGGUCGCCCAUCAUAAUAAGACCGUUUUUCACAUUUUUUCCAUCCGGGUAGGUCACCCAUGACAAUGAGACCGCACUUCAUCAUUUUUUUCCAUCUGGGUAGGUCACCCAUUACAAUGAGACCACACUUCAUAUUUUUUCCACGUGGGUAGGUCACCCAUUACAAUGAGACCGCACUUCACAUUUUUUCCAUCUGGGUUCGUCACCCAUACAAUGAGACCAUCAUUUUUCUGGGUUCGUCACCCAUACAAUGAGACCAUCAUAUUUCUUGGGUUCGUCACCCAUACAAUGAGACCAUCAUUUUUCUUGGGUUCGUCACCCAUACAAUGAGACCAUCAUUUUUCUUGGGUUCGUCACCCAUACAAUGAGACCAUCAUUUUUCUGGGGUUCGUCACCCAUACAAUAAGACCAUCAUUUUUUUCUUGGGUUUGUCACCCAUACAAUGAGACCAUUUUUCACACAUUCUUUUGUUUUGAUUGAAUGAGGUCGCCAGAUGGGAUCUCAUGUAGCUUUGGUUAAAGGGAAUCGCCAGAUGGGAUUUCAGGUUAACCGAGAAACACAAUAUUUUUGUUCCAGUUGAAUGAGGUCGUUAGAUGGGAUCUCAGGUAAACCCAAUUAAAAGGGCAGGUUGCCCGUGAAAAUAGACCAAUGUGAGUGUGUGGGCAGGUCGCCCAAGAUAAUGAAAUCAUUUUCCUUUUGUUUUCUUUACAAAGCUUACUAUGCAAAAUUUUGAGGAUUUUCGCUUCGUAAGCAUUGUAAAGAGGGGGCAUCUGUUGCUACCCAAUUUUUGACCCAUGUUUUUGAUAUAUUUUUAAAAAAUCCAAAAACAGAGAAAAACAAAGAAAAUCCAAAAAAUAUGUUUUUUUAAUAUAUUUUCGUCCUUUUAGCAUUUUCAACGUCGUCUACAAAAAAAGAAUUUAAAUUUUUAAAAGAUUUUCAAACGCGUUCGACUUUUCACGCGUCAUUUUUAAAAUCAUUGAUUUUCCUCGUUAAGUCAACGUUGAUAUUGCUGGUUUUCAAAAAAUACAAAAAAAUAAGAAAAAUCAAAAUUUACAAAAAAGAAAGAAGUUGAGGGACCAAGUUGAAAAACUUGGCAACAUUUUUGCCAAUAAAUACUGGUCUUUAACUCACACAAGGGGGGGCAAUUUUGACAACAUCUAAAAAAAAAUUCAAAAAACCUAACCUAAACCCUCUCAUAGACAGCCGUUCCCUUUCCAGAAAAAAAAAAAGAGCCGUCCCCCCCCCCGUUGGUUUGGAUUUUCUUUUCUCCAGCCGCCGGCUAAGAAUUGGCUCCCCAUUUUUCCAAAAGAGAAGACCACGAUGCCUCCCCUAUGGCCGGCCACCGCAGCCCCCAUCUCUCUGUCAUCUUCCCUUUCGGUCUGCACACAGAGCAACCACGCACGUUUCCUCCACUCAGCCAAGAACCACCGGACCCAGCAUUUCCCUCAGCAGCUAUUUCCCCAGCCGAUCGCCGAUCUGCUCUCCUCCAUUCGGCCCCCCAGCGGCGGCGGCCGCACCGAGAACCAGCCGUCCUCACCGAAGGCCCAGCGACCACCUAAUCCCUGUCAUCUCCUCCUCUCAACAGCCGCAACCUCUUCAUCUCCUUCAACCAGCAGAGCUGCGCCUCUGCCAUCGGAGAGCCAUGCCCGUCUCCACCGCGGCUUCAGCCGCCACGGACGACCACCACCAACCGAAGAGGAAAGAAGGGUCGGCGAUCUACCCGAUCCAGUGGGUAACCGACCGCACGAGCCGCCCGGCGAGCCACCCAACACCCACAACAGAUCUGCUACCCGGAGAAGAAAGAGAGAGAAGCAGAUCUAAACAGAUCUAAGGAGGGAGUCGACUGUGUUGUCUGUUGUUGUUGCGUUUUCUUGCAAGUCACAGCCUCGUCGCCGGCGAAAAGGGGAAGAAGAGAGGAAGACGUGACUGCCCCCCUGUUUUUCGGUGUUCCUUGC